UCUCUCUUCACUUCACUCUCAAUCGCCGAUCGCCGACUGCGCCAUAACUUUCCUCUGCAUCAAAUCCAAUGGUAUGAACUAUGAACCUUUUCACUCAAGUUUUCAAUUACUUUUGAAUAGGAAUUGGAAUGAAUUAUUGUAUAUAAAAUUUGUUAUCGAUUCAGGAUUCCGGUAAUAAGAAUGAGGAGAUAUUAAAAGUGAUGAACGAUUUAAAGACUUUAAGCAUGGAUAGUGGAAGUGGUAAGUUAAAACCCGAGGAGAUGUUUGAAGGAUUUGAAAAUAUAAAAUUGAGAAUAAAGUCCUUGAUUACGCUAAAGGAAUACUAUGGAAUCACUAAUCAUGAAACUGAACGCCUACUCCAGGGAAUGCUUGACGAAAUUGAUUAUAUAGAGUUCACGUUUCAACUUAUUAUAGACACUUUCAACCUAUAAUGAAAAUAUUCAGUCCACGUUUCAACUUUUCAAACAACUUCAUAGUGUAUUUAGUCACUAUUCAUACAUAUAAUCAAAACUUGAUCCUUCAAUUAAUA
RNAcentral lists this long non-coding RNA (529 nucleotides) under Cicer arietinum (chickpea). Its description in RNAcentral is "long non-coding RNA (CARI_LNC001028)". Lineage: Eukaryota; Viridiplantae; Streptophyta; Magnoliopsida; Fabales; Fabaceae. The record is from RNAcentral.